UGACAAAUUUCCUUGUCUCAUCCAGUGUGGGACUUUUAACAUACACCUUUACGUUUCUAAUUUUAUUUUAUGUGCAUUAUUAACAGGAUGACGUACCCAAGGAUAUUAGAGAAGAUGAUGACAUAGAAGAUUGGGUAGACUCAGAUGUUGUUCCAGAAUGUCUUUCAUUACACCUUAGAACUUGCAAUCUUUUCAAGUUAUCGGGCCUACAAGACGAGCUUAUGCUAGCAAGGUAUGUUUUGAAGAAUGCAAGAGUUUUACAAACCAUGAAAAUCUGGAACAAUGGACAGCUUGAAAUAAAAAGAAUAUUAUUCUCAGCCCCAAAGGCCUCUUCAGUGUGUAAACUUAUGGUUUAUAACGAUUAAUGAUCCAUCAGUUCACACACGGGUGGGACACAUUGUUUUGGAGAGAUCCAUGGGUUGGUGAGGGUGUAGUACUAAAAGAUAUGUAUGAGAUUAUUUAUCAUCACAUCUGAAGAAGAGGUCAAAGUAGUGGAUAUGUGUUGGGAAAGAGAGGGUAGGGUGGAAAGAAGUUGUAAUUGGAACUGGAGAAAGGAACUUUUUCAUUCGGAGAAUGAGUUCAUAGUUUCAUGCCAGAGAGUGAUAAAAGACGGUUUCAAGGGGGCUAGAUGUGAUAAAUGGAGCUGGAAUGAUGUUGGUGGAGGAGUAUAAUCUGUGAGAGUAGCGUAUAAGGUGUUAACAGGGGGAACCACACAACCACAACCAUUUUGGAAUGAAGUAUGUUUGGAACAGACUUGUUGUUUCAAAACAGGUUACCAACAAAAGACAAUCUAGCAAAGAGGGGUCCAUUCUGUGAGCAAUGAACUUGUGUGUUUGUAGGAGUGCGGAUGUUGAAAGUAAUGCACAUCUAUUUUUUUAAUGUUCUAAAUUCUCAACAGUUUGGAUGGAGCUACUGCAUUGGCUGGGAAUUGAGUCUGCACUGUCAAAUGAUAAAAUAGUUUGUAGGAUUGGUAAAUGGCGCGCAAUAGUUGAUGAAUUUGUGAUUUGCAAGUGCAUGGACAAUAUGCAAGGCAAGAAAUAAUGUGAUUUUUAGAAAUCAAGAGGCGGACGUUGAGAGGCUUGUGUAAAAGGUAAAGCUGAUGGUGUGGUGAUUGUUCAAUGUCAAAAUUUAGCGAUUUGAAUAUGAUAUGAUAUAAGACAGAGGUGAAAGAAGGCACGAGCAUUCACUUUGAUUUAGGUUUCACAUGCAAGGAUAAUAUUUGGGUGUUUAGAUGUUGAGCUUGAACAGCUGUGGCAUAGAGAAGAAGCACAUAUGUAAGAGCUGUUUGGAAAAGGAAAUAAAGAAAAGAAGGUGCAUAUUAAGUAUGAACGCAGGUGAAUAGAGGGCAGUGGAGUGGCAAUAUGCAGACCUGUCAUGAAGGAGCAGUGGCAUCGGAAUACGAGGUUUCAUUAAAGAAUGGCAGGGGUUAAGAGAUUUAUCGACGUGUAGUACAACGGUGAGAAGGGACUAAGCUAGAUUUAUAUAAAUGGAGGAGUUCAGGAGGGUGUGACCUGUGAACUGUACUGAUGUGGCAACACAUGUUUUGGUGGACCUGAAAAUGUUGAUUGUUCAAAUGCAUGUAGUACACUACCCAAUUAAAAAAAAAAAAAAACUUUCACAAGAUGUUGUCUUGUGUAACCUUUGAUUGAUGAACAAUGAACUUGCACAUUUUACACAGUUUCUACAUGAAAAUAACUAGUGUUGUUGUGUGUAUGUUGGCAAUACUGUCAAUAGAAGCUAUCCUGAAUAAGAAGUAUAUUCACCUUCCAAUAAUGAGUUAAGAAGUAUAUAUAUUGUGGUUGGAUUACUGUAUAUGACUAAAAUUCUUUUUUGCCUUUUCAAAAAGAGGGAUCCUUUGUGCAGAAAUCUUUUGUCCAUAUCUUGUAAAGGUUUAAUAAUAAAGUUCUAUUUUUUUUAUUCUUCUA
RNA transcript from Medicago truncatula (barrel medic), 1925 nucleotides. It is a transcript of the gene named F-box/FBD/LRR-repeat protein At2g04230, with no coding region annotated. The record is from RefSeq and is a predicted model, not a curated record. The transcript has 2 exons. Lineage: Eukaryota; Viridiplantae; Streptophyta; Magnoliopsida; Fabales; Fabaceae.